UCCUCCAUAGCUCAGUUGGUAGAGCGCGUCACUAGUAUCUUGCUAUGAAAAAUGACGAGGUCAGUCGUUCGAGUCGGCUUGGAGGAA
Non-coding RNA from Daedalea quercina L-15889, 87 nucleotides. Lineage: Eukaryota; Fungi; Basidiomycota; Agaricomycetes; Polyporales; Fomitopsidaceae. The record is from the annotation of a GenBank genome assembly.